Molecule: transfer RNA, 71 nt
Filed under: Mystacina tuberculata (New Zealand lesser short-tailed bat)
Lineage: Eukaryota; Metazoa; Chordata; Mammalia; Chiroptera; Mystacinidae
Description: tRNA-Val
Rfam family: tRNA
About the family: Transfer RNA (tRNA) molecules are approximately 80 nucleotides in length. Their secondary structure includes four short double-helical elements and three loops (D, anti-codon, and T loops). Further hydrogen bonds mediate the characteristic L-shaped molecular structure. tRNAs have two regions of fundamental functional importance: the anti-codon, which is responsible for specific mRNA codon recognition, and the 3' end, to which the tRNAs corresponding amino acid is attached (by aminoacyl-tRNA synthetases). tRNAs cope with the degeneracy of the genetic code in two manners: having more than one tRNA (with a specific anti-codon) for a particular amino acid; and 'wobble' base-pairing, i.e. permitting non-standard base-pairing at the 3rd anti-codon position.
Source: RNAcentral
CAAAGCGUAGCUUAAAUUCUAAAGCACCUAGCUUACACCUAGGAGAUUUCACAUAAAAGUGACCACUUUGA